GGAUCUGAUAGCGAGCUACGGAUGCCAAUGGAUACGUCCUCCGAGAGUGGAGCUCUCGUCAACUUUCGCGCAGAUCGUCUGCGGGGUGUUCUGUGAAACCUGUGCUACUGGGAUAAGAAAUAUUUGAGCUGGCUCUUACAAGGUUCGAAUGACAGAAAAUAUUGGGAAUAUUUGGAAAUCAAAAUAUUCUCACAACAUUUAUAGAGACACAGGAUGUGAUUUGAACCUUAUCUGGAACGCGUAUCUUACGAUAGCAGGGAGGAGUAUUAGUAGUUGACUCUAUCUAAAAUCUUCUUAAGCCAGUCAACGAUUAUAAAAGGAAACACACGCUGUAUCAAGUGGAACGUAUCAACUGAAUGCUGCUACGAUGCUCGGAUGAUCGGCACCCGAGAUGGAUCCGCUUCGGGGUUGAUCAGAAUCAG
Molecule: long non-coding RNA, 422 nt
Organism: Hylaeus volcanicus
Lineage: Eukaryota; Metazoa; Arthropoda; Insecta; Hymenoptera; Colletidae
Exons: 3
Source: RefSeq, a predicted model, not a curated record